RNAcentral lists this ribosomal RNA (239 nucleotides) under uncultured bacterium. RNAcentral's name for it is "partial 16S ribosomal RNA". It matches the Rfam family "Bacterial small subunit ribosomal RNA", at positions 95 to 334 of the family's 1533-position model. The record is from RNAcentral.
CCGGCGCACGGGUGAGUAACGCGUAUCCAACCUGCCCACCACUUGGGGAUAACCUUGCGAAAGUAAGACUAAUACCCAAUGAUAUCUCUAGAAGACAUCUGAAAGAGAUUAAAGAUUUAUCGGUGAUGGAUGAGGAUGCGUCUGAUUAGCUUGUUGGCGGGGUAACGGCCCACCAAGGCAACGAUCAGUAGGGGUUCUGAGAGGAAGGUCCCCCACAUUGGAACUGAGACACGGUCCAA